Prunus avium (sweet cherry) is the source of this 227-nucleotide long non-coding RNA. RefSeq lists it as uncharacterized. The record is from RefSeq and is a predicted model, not a curated record. NCBI's taxonomy places the organism in Eukaryota, Viridiplantae, Streptophyta, Magnoliopsida, Rosales, Rosaceae.
UAAUAGGGUUCAGUUGGUGUGCAGAGAGAAGAUUAUCAAAGAGAACAAAACCCAAUUAAUGAAGAUGAGGAUGAUUCCAAAGGAAGUCCAAGAAUACUUUUGCACCACCUCUUUGUGGUAGCUUCUAUGGUGUUGUGCUUGAUGGGCCUGGAGGUUCUGUGCCAACAGUGACAGAGUAUAUGGUAAAUGGUUCUCUCAGAAAUGCCUUGCAGAAGAAUAAGAAGAAA